This 278-nucleotide ribosomal RNA is filed under the name uncultured Pseudomonas sp. RNAcentral's name for it is "partial 16S ribosomal RNA". It matches the Rfam family "Bacterial small subunit ribosomal RNA", at positions 1107 to 1382 of the family's 1533-position model. The record is from RNAcentral. Lineage: Bacteria; Pseudomonadati; Pseudomonadota; Gammaproteobacteria; Pseudomonadales; Pseudomonadaceae.
GUCCUUUAGUUACCAGCACGUUAUGGUGGGCACUCUAAGGAGACUGCCGGUGACAAACCGGAGGAAGGUGGGGAUGACGUCAAGUCAUCAUGGCCCUUACGGCCUGGGCUAUACACGUGCUACAAUGGUCGGUACAAAGGGUUGCCAAGCCGCGAGGUGGAGCUAAUCCCAUAAAACCGAUCGUAGUCCGGAUCGCAGUCUGCAACUCGACUGCGUGAAGUCGGAAUCGCUAGUAAUCGUGAAUCAGAAUGUCACGGUGAAUACGUUCCCGGGCCCUU